GCAAGUUGUCUAUCCUCCUCCGUUCCUAAUUGUUGGCUCAGCGCCCUAGAUAACUGCUGCACUUGAAACUGCUCUCGUUGAAGACGGAGCUGAUGCUCCGAAGGAAGCAUGUUGCCAUACUUUGCUUGCGACAUGAAAUCCAAAAAAUCAGCCUGUUGCCCUUGGACUGCACCCUGGUUAACCUUUGCUUGGAUGAUCUGCUCCAGUGAUGGAUCCAGGUGCCUUGAUGCUUGAGAAUUAUUCUGCAAUUCACUACGAAGAUGCCUUUGUAACUGAACCUGAUCAAGUUGGAUGUCUCUAGCAGCUUCAAAUACGUCCUGACCAUAGCCAGGAUCAGAAAUCUGACGCUGCAGCAAUUGAUCAAGAAGAAUCUGUUGAGAUUGAGAAUUCUGCUGCUGUCGAUGUUGUUGUUGCAACUGCUGCAACAGUUCAAUUUGAAGUUCCAACUGCCGUUGAUGCUGCUGAAGUUCCAACUGCUGCUGCCGCUGAAGCUCCAACAGACGUUGAUGCUGCUGAAGCUCCAACGUUGAUGCUGCUGAAGCUCCAAUUGCUGCUGCCGCUGAUGCUCCAAUUGCUGCUGCCGCUGAUGCUCCAACUGCUGCUGCCGCUGAUGCUCCAACUGCUGCUGCUUCUGAAGCUCCAACUGAUGCUGCUGCCGUUGUAGUUCUAACUGCCGCUGCUGUUCAACUUGAAGUUCCAAAAGAUGUUCCAUAUGGGGAGCUGAAUGAUGGACUGACUGCUGAUGAUUGAGAUUCUUGCUCUGCAUCAGAUCAAAACUAUGGAUGUGCUCCACACCAAAUCCGGUCGAAUGUGGAAGGGCAUGAAAGAAAUUAUUUUUCUCUUGAAGAGGUUCAUUGGGCAACUUUUGUGACAUUAAGUGCUGUACCAGGUCCAAACCAUUGUGUUCUUGGUCCCUGUGAGAUAAUGGCCUAGCACCAGUAGUGCCUAGAUGAAUGUUAGGAUUAAACACGGCAUUUCUUCUAUGAUCAUCAGACCAAGCCUCUGGGAGCAACUCAUCACCUCGAUGAGGUGCAUUGGUUUUUGAAAAUUCAUUUGCAAUGGAUAAAUGACUGGCAGGGUGACGCAAAGGAUCUUGCAUCUCAGUAGAAACUUUCAAAGGGUCAGCACCAGCACUUCCAGGCCUUCCUGGAAAAAUGAUUUCUGCAUCACACGUGGAAAGGCAGGCAUCAUUAACAGACACAAUUGUUAACAAUAUAAACAGUAGGUGCAACCCAUUAAACUUACCAUCAGCUUGAGCAACAGCAAAAUUAUGGAUGUUUGGAUCUUCAUAAAAUUGGUGCUCAGAAUGACCACUUUCACAAGGCCCUCUUAACUGAAAGUUAGUACCAAAUGGCUCAAAAGGAGAAAAAGAUUGCUGCUGCUCACGCCCAAUGGCAGAUCCCUGAGCAGGAGCAGAAGCAGAAGCAGAAGAAGAUAUGGUCUCUUCCAAGCUCCCUUCAAAACGAUCAGGUACUCGCAUUCUGGCAACUGCACUAACACUGGAGGCUGAACCAGGAUUCAUUCUUAGGUGAGGCAUGACUUCACCAAGUUCUUGGAAAGGCGACCCAUCAGGAGCAUUUGCCAAUCGAACAGGUAAAUCUGUACCAAAAUAACCUUGCUCAAACCAUGAAAUUAUGUCAAUCCCCAAAUACGGUCCCUGAAUUACCCCUUGAGGAUCAAGAUAACACAGGCUCAUAUCCUCAGGAGGGAUAGCACUUUCCAGUGAAUGUGCAGCAAUAUUGCCCUCAACGCUUAUCAGGUUACAGCCGACUCUAGGCUGUAGUGACGAAAAACCAAACAGAGAACUUGACUCUUCCGGAAGCUCGCCCACUCCAAAUUUCAUGGAUGAUCCAUUGUCCUUCACAUUAGAGUCCUUUUGCAUUUUCAAAUCAGCUACUUGCCGAUUAUCAAAAGAUUUUAAUUCAUCCAUGUAAUUUGUGGAACCACCCAUCUCCCUAUCUGACCCCAAAGCAUUGGUUACAUCUACAUCAGAUGGUGGCAUGCAUCUCUGUCCACCUUCUAUUGAACUAUUCAUUUCUGUAAUGACAAACAGAAAAUUUCAUUAAUAUUAUCCUUAACAGACUGCUGAUAGCCAACAACUAAAAUCGAAAGUUUCCUACCCUUGCUCAUAAUCAUCUGUGAAUCUGACACAUAAAAUGUCUCAGCAUGAUUCCCCUCAAAAUUAUUGUUUACAGCAGCCUUCUCACCAGGUUCAGCACUAUCCUUCCUGUUAACUGAGAAACACUCUUUUCCUUCACCUGAAAUCACAGGGCAAAUAACUUAUCAUGUCAAAGGUAUCUUAAUUAUUUACUAGGUAGGUAAGUUACAACAUAAAUGAAACACUAGAAGCAAUGCUAUCAUUUGAUCCCUACUUGCAUCCAUAAAUGAGUUGUAGACCACUUCACUGCUGAUAGUUUUCCCUUUCCAUAUAUCUCUGAGGAUAGCCUGUAAGAAUCAGGCAAGCAAAUUUUAGGCAACCAUAUAGAAGGAUAAAGAUGAGUACAUUUUAAUUCUAUAAAUCAAACUAGAAGGUUCAGACCUUUUCCUCUGCAUCAGGAGGAACAAAUGCCAAAGGCACAACAAUUUCUUUUUGUGUUACUGUGGAUAAAUGAUCCAUCUCAUCAGGUAGGUUGUCAAAAUUUGGAGCAGUCUUUUGUUUGCGGUAAAUGUCAAGGAGUUUUCCUCUUGGAUAGGAACCCGCAUUAAGGGUCAUGUUUUUAUCCACAGGAAGAGCUCCAACAACAGGAGCAGAUUGUGGCCUCCCAAUUUGUAGGCUUGCAUUGGAAUUUGGCCUUCCUCGUCCUGCUGCAAAACCCACAUUUGAUCUCUCCACUCGUCCCCUCUCCAAACCAAAUCCUGGAGCACUGCGGUAAGAAGCAGACCCACCUGCAUGAAAUUCCAACCGAUGACGUGGCCUCCAUUUAUCACGAGAAUCAUUCUCGCGCUCAGAAGCUGGGCGCCCCCCACUGGCAAGUGCUUGUUUGUCAGAAGGGGCAUCUUCCUUCUUAGCAUCAGUCCUCUUCUCAUUUCGUGAAUCCUUUUCUUUGUCUUCAAGACCCCAUCUCGAAGACCACUUGUUGUCCCUUCGAGAUUCAUGCCCUGAACUACGGUUACAAACAUCUUGACGUCGUUCUGAAGACAACAAAGUCCUAUUUUCAGGAACAUCCAUUGUUGAAGAAAUAUCAGUGCGACGAUCUUCUUUUCUGCGAUCUCUUCGACCAAGUAAGCUUGUUUCCCUCUCCUCUUCACGCCAGUGUCGGCUGCUUUCAAGAUCAGGUGCAGUCCUCCUCCAUUCUUUCUUGUCCUGAGAACUAUCUAAACGCCAACUAUCUUUCAGAUUCGGGUCGCCAGGGGUUCCAUGAGGCAACAAAUUCGGAGUUUUUGUAUCCUGUUAAGAGGAAACAAAUUAUAAAACUGAAACAAUACAAACCAAAAUGAAAAAUAGCCACAAGCUCUAACUCAAAUAUAUAUUUGUGAUGAGCAUAAUAAACCAAGAAAAUAAAAAUAAUUUCUUCAAAUCUAAUCAAGCUACUUUUUUUUUGAAACCAUAUACACUACUUACCCAUACUUCCACUACAGAAAAGUAAAUGAAACUAGAAACCAACAAAUUAAACACUCAUAUGGCAACCAGCACCCUUAAAACAUUUGAUAAGAGAAAUAAAAGUGCCAUACCCCAGAUGCUCCAACAGUUAAUGUCUUUGCUUCGGCUACUUUAGAGUAAAGCCACUGUGGGGACAGAGGUAUGCUGCUCUCCGAAGUUUGUUGAUCUAUUGGUCACAAAAGUUAAAAAAAAAAAAUAGUUAAAACUCUUGCAAGGAAAGAGCUUCCUGUGAUUUUAAAAAUACAAGAUUUCAACAUUAAGAUAAAUAUUAUUACCUUUGUUGUCAUCAAGUAGCCCCGUCAGUCCUUUCUCCUCCAAGUUCCUAUCCCAAGCUUCAUCUAGCAAUAACAGAAACUAAGAUAAGUACCGCAUAGGUGAAGCUGUAGAAACUGUCUAACCUCACUUUUCAAGCUUGAUUUUAUGCAGUCCUUAAAACAAAAAAAUUGCUUUGAGAUUGAACUGCCAAGUUUUCUAAUUGUAACAGAUGAACGUUUCUUUGAAUAAUCUUUCCGUAUAAUUAGAAUAAAACAUGCUGUAGUACGAUAUAUCAACUUCAGGGUCGUCAGGUAAAAUUUGCCAAUAAUUUUGAGAAUUAACUAAAGUGAUUUUCUCUAAUCAACGGAGAAUUUGAAAGGAGCAAUUUGAGCUGAUAUAAUUUUACAUAGAAACAAUCGUGAAUUUCCUUUGUUUUCCUUUCUGGCGAAAACCAUUAAAUUAAUACGCCGUAACAGAAAGAAUUUAAACGAAAUUGAACGACAUCUUAGGGGACAAUAAUCAUCAACGCAAUCUGAAAUUUAGAAUUAAUAAAUUAAACUAUUCAAAGUCAAAUAAUGAAAAACUUAGUAAAUGGAUAAUAUUUGAGACAACCUUGAGGAUUGAAUUAAAAUGUGAAACCACUGCGAUCGGAAUCCAAAAAGUAAAAAGUUGUAGUAUAAAAAACGGGAGAACGAAAACUAAAACGAAUAAAAAAGGAAAUGUAUUAAUACCUUUAGGGAAGUGGUCAGAGCAGAUUUUUGAGGGCAUGAGAUCAUCAGGUAGAUCGAGUUUUCCGUCAGCCAUCGAGACUGUGAAAAUUGUUAGAAUCUAAAAGGCAGAGAUCGCAGCGGGCAAAAGGCGGCGUUCAAGGUUCUGGAAAAUGGCGACACAGAGAGAGAUCGGAUGGCUCAAUUGAAAAAGAGAGAGAGUGUUUGAAGAGGGAAUGAUUUUGCAGGGAAUGAAAGAGCGGAAAUGGCUAGGGUUUCUAAAACUUGAGGUUUGGGUCUGAUUUUGAUAAGGACGACCAGGAUUUCGAUUUUUUUUUUUUUUGCGUUUUGUUUGAAAUGGGGAUUUUUCCUUUUGGGAUGAAAAAAGAAAUCGAUAAAUAUGUACAUAAGAAGUAAUUUUUUUAAUAGAUAUUUUUAUUAAAAUAUUUCAUAUUAUUUUAUUUAAAAUUUAGAAGUAGUUGUAAAUUAUAUAAAUAUAUUCUAUUAAUUAUUAUUCAUCAACUAUAUCAAAAUAUAUUUAAUUAUAUAAUUGUAAUAGUAUUACGUACACCAUAUUGGAUUCGUUAAAAUAGAAUAAAGUUAUAAUCAAUUGAUUAUUUUGUAGAAAUAGAAAUUUAAAUUAAAUAUGUAUAAUUUUAGUUUAGUUAGGUGGAAUUGUAAUAAUAUUAAUGUAUUUGAUUUAAAGAAAUAAAUAUUGUAAUAUUAAUUUAUUGUUUAACUAAGAAAUACUAUAACUUUUUUAAAAUAUUUAAAUGAUUAAUAUAUUCUUCAAUUAAUUAUUCUUUUUAAAAAAUGAACAAAAUAAAAAUGGCCAUUGCAUAAAAAUGUAAAAAAAUAAAAAAACGUGAUAUUGAGCAAUUUACAAAAUUAAAAUCUUCUCAUUUGAAAUUAAAGCUCCUAAAUAAAGUCAAACCAAUGUUGCUGCAGUAUUUCUAAAAAUGUAAAAAUAAGAACAUAGUCUUCCUAUUUGUAAAGUUAUUGUUGCUACAGUAUUUUACCAUUUCAUUGUGAAAGGAGUUCUCUUCAAGCUAAACUAAUAAUAUAUUUACACCACAACGAAGUCAGAAAUUUAUUUUACAAAAUCAAAUUGAAUUAUAUUUUUUCAAGAAGAUUAAAGUAUAAUUUUAUUAUUGUAUUAACAUAUCAUUUGUAAAUUUUAAAAGGAAUUAUAAAGAAAUUUAUUAUCUUAGAAGGGGUCAAAUUGCAACAUAACCAUUAUAUUAAUUUAAAAAUUCAAAACUUUUGAAAGAACUAAAAAUAUUUUUUUUACUAUUUGGGAGGCCAAGGCCCAUGCUUGCCCUUUUGAUGUCGUCCUUGAUUAAUACUUAGUUUUAAAUGCAUAAUAAAUAAUGAGCAACUACUUGCAUAGUUUGUUAGUGAUGAAUUUAGGUGAGCAAAUUUUGAUAUGCAUUCUGACACCCCACACCUGAUUCGAUUAUAAGAAUUGAAUGUGUGAUGUCACAUUACUUUGUCGAAGUAACUCGUAUCAUUUAUGGAAUAAUUAACCAUAUAUACAUGACAUAAUUUAAAAGCAUUUUCAAUUGCAAGUAUAAUCAAUCAUUACUGAUGUCCUACAAAAUAUUCUUUGAGUUAUGUGAGGUCAACCACGGAGUUAGGACUCGAAUCCAAACUCAACUACCAAAAUUCAACUGGGUGUCCUGAGGCCAAAUGGUAAAAAUGCCAAAAUGCAAUUUUACUUCAAGCCAUAAGGAUGCCAAAUCAUACCUAUGAAACCAUAUAACACUCAAUUAUCAACCAACAACUUGGCAUCCAAAAACAUAUCAUCAACAAUUCAUACCAUUAAAAAAACCUUAUAAGACCCCUAAUUUAUAGGUACAUGCCAUUAUAAAUCACAAACAUAAUGAAACUUUACAAAGAUUUAGUUGAGUCGAGAUGUGAGAUUUGGAUGCUGUUGGCUCUCAUCGAUCACUCCAAAACCUAAUCGCCACCUACGCACGAAAACAAAUAAUCCGCAUGUUGAGUAAAAGAGCUCAGUGGUGCCUAUAUAAUAUGAUAACAAUGCUUAUACAUGAUAAAUAAAUAUCAAACUAUUUAAUCUUCCGUAAUUUGAUAUGUCAAAUUACGCUCUCCAUUACACUUAAUGAGCUUAUUCUCGAGCAAUUUAUAUGUUUUUUGUCGUGUUUUUACUUAGUUUUAGUUCUUUGUUUUGAUAAGUGAAUUAGUGCAUUUUAUGCUACUUUUGAGACUCGAAUUUACCAAAUGUGUCAUAGGGAUCCUAAUGGUUGAUUGAGUCUUGUAGGGAGUCAUUGGCGGCCUGAACGUGAACGAAAACAUCAUCUAGAAGGGGGUAUUGAAAUAUCGAAGCAUGAAAGUCAUGGUACCCGUGAUAGUGCUAAAUUGAAGAAGAUUGAGGCUCUUCAUUGUGAUUUCACGAUAUCCAACUCCCAAAGGGCCCCCCAUUUCAAGACUGUCGUGGGUAUCGCAAUACUGCUGCCUGAUGUGGAGAAAAAUGACUGCAGUGGUAGUUUUUGUCCAACACCAAAAACCAAUCAAAAUACAACGUCCAAGGGCAUUUUGGCACUAAAAUUUGGGUUGUAAUAAGCUAUUAAAAGCCAUUUUUGGCUAAGAACAAAGAGAGUUGUAGUUUAGGUUAGAAAGCUUCUUAGUUUUAGGUUUUUUCUUUCAUCUUUUAGUUUAGGUUAGCUGUAGGAUUUAGCUUUCUACAACUUCUUUAUUUUCCUUGUAUUUUCUUAGUUAGUUAAGUUAGUUUUUACUAUAGCUAAGUGUUGUUUAUCUUUAAAUCCUUUAACCUUACAUUGUAUUUUCAUUUCCAUCUAAAGCUUUUAAUAUAGUUUAAAUUCAUUUUCAGUUUCUUAGAUAAAAAUAUGAUCUUUUAUGUUUUUUCUUCCUUACCAUUAUUGUCAUUUGUGUUUUCUUCAAGUCUUUACUAGAAUGUUCAUGUUUUUAUCAUAUUUCCUUUAAGUUAACUUGAUGUAUAUGUUGUUCGAAUAUUUGGUUUUUGCUGGUUCAUAUAUGAAUAUUAGUAGCUAAAUCUUAGGGUGGUUGGUUGAUGAAAAUGUUGUUUAGUUAGUCUUUGAUGCAUGGACUAAAUCGUAAAAAUUAGACUAAAUUCAUUAAACUUUAAAACUUAGGAUUGAUGCCCCUAAGGGAAUAUCAAGAUAAGUGACACCAAGAGGAAAUCUUAUUGGGCACCAAUUUAUUAGUCCUGGGUUAGUCGGGUGAGGUCGAGAGAUAAACCGGACUAAUUUGUCUAAUUUGGUAAAGUUGAGACUAAAAGGUAAAAUAGAACCAAUUUAGGAGUGUUAACGAUUUAGAUCCUUAAUUCAAAGGUUAAUUAACAACAUGGAAAUCAACCAACCACUCCCUGUUAUUGUAUUUGAUAGUUUUAUAUUUUGCUUUAUUUACAAUUUAGUCAUUUUCUAUUUUAGGUAAUUAAUUAGCUUAAUUAAUAUUUAAAUUAAGUUUUUCCGUAAUAUAGACAUUAGUGAGUAGCUAGCUAUACUCCUUUUUUGCAUGCUUGGUUGAAUAGAAAUCAUUGAAUCGUUGACUCCUUUGGGUUCGAUUCUUGGAAGAUUUCGGUGUUUUAUUGUAACAUUACAAAUAUUACAACUGACUUGUCACACUUGCAGAUACCGCACUUAAUAUUUUAUUCAAUUGUUAUUUUUAGUGUUGAUUUCCUCUCAUCAUUCACGAUGGCGACAAGGAGUCGAUCAAGUUGUUAGCACUGUUGUCAGGGAGUAGGUGCAAGAUUUAGUGAUUUUUAGUGCCUGUUGCGUGUUUGUAAGGAGAUAAUUAGAAAAAUCUAUGUUUAUAGAUACGACACUUUAUUUUCUUAAAUUUGUAGAGAGAACUACCGAAAUAAUAUACGUCUGGUGCUAAAUAUAUAUACACCCAAUGCUUAUCGGUACGUCCAAAGAAAUAUGCACCUAGUGUUCAUUGGUAUAUUACCGAAGUAAUGUGUAAUAAGGCUUUAUUCUUUAUUUUUUAUUACUAAAUCUCAUUGUAUCAUAAAUAGAAGCACAUUAUCAAUAACAAUUCACAAUCACAAUUAUUUAUAUAAUUCGACAUAACUCAAUCGAAUCAAGUAGUCACAUUUAUACAUACCUCAAACUUGUUCAUCACUAAUAUCAUUUGAUCAUAAUUCACUAUUUGUUUAAAGAAUAAAUUAAGAACAAAUUAUGUGUAACACCCCUAACCCGUAUCCGUCACUGGAUUAGGGUUACAAGGUAUUAUCAAAUCAAGUGACAACAUAAAACCAUUCAAUUAUUAAUUUAAAUAUCAAUAUUCAAAACCAAUAAUCAUUCAUAGCAUAUAUACAAUUUCGAGCCUUAUUUCGAGCUUAUGGAACCUAAAAAUCAAUUUGGAAACAAUUAGGGACUAAUUUGAAGUAAAACAGAAAAAUGUAGAAAAUAUAAAAAUAGAGGUCACAUAACCGUAUGGCCAAGUUGUGUACAGUUUGAAAAUAGGGUCACACGAUCGUGUCUCCAAGCCAUGUAACAACAUGUGACUGUGCGGGUCAAACCCGCACCUAAAAAUCAAUAAGACACAUGAUCGUGUGGGGUGGUCGUGUGUAGCACACAACUAUGUGCAUCCAAAAUGACCCCUAAUGCAAGCUAAUUCAUCAACCAUUUCUUAGGCAUCAAGCCAAACCAUUUCCAAACUUUUUCACCAAUUCAAAACACAUCUAAAUAUGACAAAAGCAAACAAAAAAUAUACAACCCAUUGUGUCUAACCAAUAUGCCUACAUUGGCACCAGAAUCAAACACUGAUCCAAAUUCACAUUCAAUAUACACAUGUUCCUACCUUAUAAACCAAUCUAACAUAUCUAUGCAUCUAUUUCAUACACAUCCAUUGAAUCAAACAUCAAACCACUUUCAUAAGGCAUAUAACAUAUGGUCAAAAACACUUACAUAGACAUACCAUUGCCAUCACACACCACAAUCAACCACAAUACUAAUUAAGCUUCACAUUAAUAAACACAUCUCAUACUUCAAUUGAUACAAAACAUAUCCAUAAUGAUUAUAACAUAUAUAUACAAAAACCCUAUUUACAUGCCACUUAUAACAAACCAAAGUGAACAAUUAGUUACCGAUUAAGUUGUCGGAUAAUGCAAUCUCCAAAAGCAAUGCAAUCGAUAGCUCGUAACUAACUAUCUACAAAGAAUAAAAACCAAAAAUGAGGUAAGCUUGCGUAAAACUUAGUAAGUUCGUAUUGAACAUAACUUUAACUUACUGUAACGGUCGUAACUUAAACAUUUCGCAAUUAAAUUCAUAAAUAAGGUCAUGAGUUCAUUAUUAAUAUAUACAUAUUACAAGUCUCACAAGGUUAGUAAGUUCGCAAAUAUGAAACUUAUAACUUUAUUCUGUCAUAAAACAUAUACUAGUAAACACAUUUGAUAUACCAUUCAUACAACAUCUAUUCAUUUAACAUUUUAUCUUUCCAUUUCAAGUGUUCAUUUCAAAUGUCCCUUUUUACAUAUCUAUCCAUAUAAACAUUUCGUACAAUCACUUCAUAUAUCUAUUUUCAUAUAAUCAUUUCAUAUACUCAUUUAUAUAACUAUUUUGUAUACCCAUCUCAUAUUACAAUUUCGUAGAAUCAUUUCAUAUAACCAUUUUGAGUAACCAUUUCAUUUUACACAUUUAACAUGUAUUCAUUUUGUAUAUCACAUUUUGUUUCAAUAUUUCAUAUCAAAUUCUCCAUUAAUUGUUUCAUUCCAUAUAGUUGUUUCGUUUUACACAUUUAACACCUGAUGAACCAAAUGAAAUAACGUCGGAUACGCAAGAACAAUGCUUACACAAAGUAUGACUGUAACUGUAAAUGCUCACAUGAGCUAUAAAAUGGGCCUAUGCACACGAGCUGUGGAGAAUUCGCAACAAAUGUAGGACAUCAUGUAACAGCCUGAUUUUUCAGUGGUGUCGGAAACAGUGGUUCGAGGCCACCAAAUCCGGUAAGUAAAAUUGUAAAUAUUAUUAUUUAAUAUUUAAGAGUCAAAUAUGAUUUUAAAAAGGUUUUUGAAUUGGUAAUUUAUGUUUUAAAAUGAUUUAUUAGGUUCGAGUGGUAAGAUACUAGGUCAAGUGGUUUUAAAAAGUGAGGUAUCGGGACCUCGUUUCAAUAAAAUGAGCUGUAAAUAUUUUUAUAAAUAUUUAAAGAGUGUCAUUAAGAUGACAUUAAAGUUUCGUUGAAAAAUUUUAACGUUUCGAUAGUUAAUUAAUUAAAAAGGACUAAAUUAGAAAAGGUGUAAAACUUGCUAAUUAUAAUAUUUAAAUGAAUAAAUGACUUGAUUACUAAAUGAGGAAGGACUUAAGUAAUAAAUAAACCUAAAUUAAAAGAUAAGGCGGCAUAAUUAAAUAAAUCCAUUGAAUGGCAAAAUGGUAAUUUUCUUGAAAUUAAAAUAAAACCAAUUGAAUUUGUAAGUUAUUUUUAUGCAUUCUUCUUCUUGUUUCGGCCUAAACCACCAUGAGAGAAAUUUUUAAGCUGGUUCUUCAAUUUUCGCUUAAUGUGAGUUUAAUUUUUACCCGUUUCUUGUAAUUUUUAUAUUUUUGAGAUUGUUACAAUUAAGUUCAAUUAAACCAUACCUUUGUUUUUUGAUUUUAUGAAAAAUUUUGGAAGUUUCGAUUGAUAAAUAUUAGAUUUUUUUGAUGAAUAACAUAGAUUUAGAGUUUUGAUUUUGUUGUAUGAUGAUUUUAUUAAGUGAUUUUGUUAAAUAUUGAUUUUAGGAUUAAAUUGUGAAAAAGUUAAAAUAUUAGGGUUUAAUAGUGAAUUUUUGGUUUAUUAAGGGUUGUAUGAAGGCCUAGAAUAUUUGGAUAGAUUAUUGAUUGAGAAAAUUAGUUAAUUUGAUAGAUUAACUAAUUAAGGGAUUAAAUUGUAAAAAUUGUAAAAAAUUUUAGGUAAUUGUUUAAAUUUUUAAAAAAUAAAAGGGUAUUAAUUGUAAAAUGAAUUGAAAAUGAAAUAUAUGCUAAUAAAUGAAUACUUUUUAUAUUUUAGAUCAAGAUCCCGUAAAUACUCGUGAAAAAGGAAAAAUAGUAAAUAGUCCCUGAACUUCUACAAUUACUACAAUUCAAUCCAGGUAAGUUCGUACGGUUAAAAUUUAAUAUUUGUAUAAAUUCGAUGAACGGUAUUAUGCAUUUAUUCUAUUGUUGGAAAUGAAUUAUUAUUGGAAUUAUAACAUUGAAUUGGAUAUUUGGUUGAAUGGAACGCGAGAUUUGAGUACAAUCGUAAUUUGGCGUAUGAUGGUAUUGGAGGGAGAUAUCAGCAUUUUACCCAGGUAAAAUAAGGUUCAGCAUUUGUUGCGAACUCUCGUGUUUUACUUUAUGUUUGGCGUAAUUGGGUGAAUUAGCUCUUACGAGCUUCUGUUCAGCUCUUAUGAGCUUCUGUUCAGCUUUCAAGCUUCUGUUGGCAUAUUCAGAUGGACCAGUUCUUAUGAGCUUUUGUUAACGAUGUACUCUUAUCCGUAAGUCAUUCUUCGAAUGGAAAAAAAAUCUGUAAGGUGAUUUAUUUAAUGAAUUUGAAAGACAUGUUAUUUAUUUUGUAUUGAUUUGAAUACGAAUGUAUUUGUCAAUUGAAGUUGUGAAUGACAGGAAGUUGACAUGAAUAAUUUUAUUUAUUUGACUUGUUAUAGUAGGUUCGAUAAGAUUCUUAUUUUACCCAUCGAACUUAUUAAGCUUUAUUAAGCUUAUUUGUAUUGUUUAAUAUCUUUGUAGAUUUUUAGAAGGUUAGACGAUCGGAUCAACACUCAAGUCACACUAUCCAACUUAUCUCGGUAGUUUUUGAAACAUUUAAUAUAGUUUAUAUGGCAUGUAUAGGCUUUCGUACGGACUUAGUCAAAGUUUAGCUUAUGAAAAUAUUAUGAAUAAUAUUUUGUUUAUAUAACCAACUCACAUAUUGGUAUGAAAUUAAGGCAUGAUUGUGAUGUUAGUAUAAGUGAUAUAUGUAUGUAUGUAUGUAAUUGAGUUAUAGUGAACUUUGGUAACUUGGUUAGAUAAACUGAUUAGGUAAGGUUGGAUACUUGAUUGGCAUUUUUCUAAGUUGUCAUUUGAGGUGCCUAAGGGUUUAUUAGUUGUAUAUGGUAAUAAUAUAUGUUUAAGACUUGAUUUUAGCUUGUGUUGCAUGACUUGUUAUGGGUUGUGGAUGUACAAUUUGUUGAGGCUAGGUUGGUGUCAAUUUGAGUGAGAAACGUGGCCUAGAAAAUGGUUUAUUUUCGUCCACACGAGUAGGUACACGGGUGUGUGUCUCAGCCAUGUGUGACAUAUGGUCAAGUGACACGACCGUGUGUCCCCUGUAUCAUCUUAAAAUGCAAGUCAAUAUGCUCACACGGCCUAGCACACGAGCGUGUGACCCAAGUCAGAGAGUUACACGGGUAUGGACACGGGCUUGACACGACCAUGUGUCCCUAUUUCGAAUUCUCACACGGCCUGAGACACGUGUGUGUCUUCUGACCGUGUGAGUCACACGACCUGGCCACACGACCGUGUGACCCCUGCAAUGUUGAAAAUUUUAAAUAUUUCUGAAAAAUUCUUUGAGUUUCUGAUUUAGUCCCAACUUGUUUCUAGUAUGUAUUUCAGGUCUUGAGGGCUCGUUUAAGGGACAAUAUAUAUGAUUUUAAUUGGUUUUAUUAUGAAUAUUGAUAUGUAAUAAAACAUUUGAAAUUUCUGUUUGAUUGAUCCGUAAACUUCGGUAAUGCUCUGUAACCCUGUUUUGGCGACGGAUACGGGAUAGGGGUGUUACACUUCAGCCAUCGGUAGGACAUCCAAGACCAGCACCCGAACUAUAAUAACCCUAAUGACAUGUCAUUUGUAUCCUAAGCAUUCACGAGGUUCAUAUGGGUCACUUUUUGUUUCCAAAGUAUCCUAAGCAUUCACGAGGUUCAUAUGGGUCACUUUUUGUUUCCAAAUAAAUUAACUUCAUUUUUAUUGUACCACAACAAGCUCACAACCAUAAAAUUUUCAUUUUUCAACAUAAUCAUAAUUUAGCCAAUAUCACAAUUUAGUCCAAAAUCACCAAUUGUCAUUUAUUAUUCAAUUUAAACUAUGCCUAACAUGAAUAAUAGUUAACAUGUUACCAAAAGUAACAAAUAACAAGUUUAAACAAUAUACAAACUUACCUAAACAAAAACGUUACGAGUAUGAUGCCGGCGACUAUUCUGUUAACUUAGUUGACUCCCAACCAAUCACAUUACAAAACUCAUAUUCCACAUCUUUCGAGCACACUUGGCGUACCAUACCUAUGGCAAUAACUCGUAUAUGGCGUGGCCUUAAAGAUACUUUAGUCCCUUACAACUUUAACAUAUACUUAGUAGGCGCAUCAUGCUCAAUCAACAUUCUGAUGCGUACUCUUUGCUUGUCAUACUCUUUCUUCAAUUGAAGAAUAUUACAAGAAUAAAUCCUUAAAUACUUCUAUGGGUGGAUACUUUAUGCGCCAAACAUUAGUUCACCAGAAGCUUCUAAAUUGGCGAACUAACUACCAAAGUACACCAAAACAGAUAAUCUUAACUUCUAUUUGUCUUCCUCUCGAAUAUGCCAAAUUUGGGAUGUGACGGGUUAAAUAUAAUAUGGCAUUUAACAGGUUAGAUGUUGGGCUAGUUAUUUCGAGUAGAGGUAUUUGCUAAGGUGAUCUGCUUUCUCUUUAUUUGUUUAUUAUGUGUACUAAAAGGCUCGAUUUUCUUCUACAGCAAGCGGAAAGUAGAAGGAGCUACAUGAUAUUUCUAUUUGUAGAGGGAGUUCGAGUGUCUCACAUCUUUUGUUUGCCGAUGAUAACUUAUUCUUUUCAAGGCUAAGGAUGGGAAGUGCCAAAUCGUUAAGACUAUUCUUUCUACUUAUGAGGCGACUUUGGGUCAAUCUAUUAAUUAUAAAAAAUCUAGAAUUCUAUUUAGCUCUAACAUCGAACUUUUAUAUAGACAAAUGGUGUGCUCUUCUUUGGGGGUCUGGGCCCAUUUGAACCAUAGUCAUUAUUUGGGCCAUUGCUUGUGGGAAAGAAAAAGAAAUAGGUGUUCUCCUUUUUUUGGGAUCGUUUGAGUAAAAGGAUUUAUAGCUGGAAGAAUAAACUUCUGUCAAAGCUCAGGAAGGAGGUGGUCUUAAAAAUGAUUGCCCAAGCGUUAUCAAUUUUCUGCACAAGUGUCUUUUUGCUCCCCUUAACUCUUGUGAUGCUCUACAAAAGAUGGUGAACUCUUUUUGGUGGGGUUUGAACUCUAGCGCUCAAAGGAAUAUUCUCAUAUUGGCUUAAGAACUUCCAAAUCACCUUUUCCUUGUCAUCGUAUCCCUUGGCUAACCAUGUUUGCUUUUUUCCUUCGAGCAUUUGAAUUGCUAGAAAUGCAGUCAUCCUUGAUACACCCUUAAGUGGUAGCGAUAUUCAGUCCAAAGCUAUCUCUCUCACCGUGGAAUUCUUCACUCUUUCCGAUGGAUCUAGAUUGUGGUUAUCCCUCAACUUUUCAAGUCAAGCAAAAUCCCCUUACAAGGUUUGUUCAAAGUCAAUUGUUGACAGCUCCUCCCUUGAUAAUACAAGAGUCACUAACACAAGAGCCAUUAUACAUGAUUAGUGGCAAUUGGGUUGCUGAUGGUCACUUUAACCAUGGCCACACCACCAACAUUAUGGACCAACUCUGGGUUGUUUGGGACCAACCUUUAUUCGCUCAGAGAACGAACAUUACUCAUGUUAUUGUUAAGCUUGGUUGUUAUUGAUCUUAUGAAACAAAUGAAAAUAUUUUACUCGGAGCUCAUUCAUGAUUGCAGAACUUUAUUGAUGAGAUUCCCCGGUACAUACGUCCAACAUUCCUUUUGAGAAGGUAACCACUAUGCUGACACUUCAAAUAGAGCUAAAAAUUAAUAACGAUCUUAGUCGAUUAUCAAAUACUAAGAUCUCAAAUAACUUCAUGUUGUUUCUUUUGAUAUCCCAAAAUUUAUGCAUUCUUAAAGCUCUUCGAUUAUGGGAAAAAAAUACACAGGUAUAGAAUGAAAGACCAACCUAUACGCGAAAAACUUAAGAGACUUAGGUGAGUUUGAAUGAGUGGUGCGUUUACCUGCGGUUAGUGUAAAAACAGCGGUGGCGGUAAGAUUAGAUACUGUAGCAAUACUGUACCGUGAGACAAAAAAUAAGCUAAACGCACCGCACCGCACCCAAUCGUCCAUCCAAACUUACCCUUAACCUUAAAAAAAGUAGAACAAAUUCGAAAUCGAGAACCAUAACCACAACACGUAGCAUUAUUUUCUCAUUUGUUAUCAGUUCCCAACAUAUCAGAAUCCAUAAUAACUUUGAUAUGCAAGUACAAUAAAGAAAACAAUUUUUUUUUAUCAAAGAAGGAAAAAAAUUACGUAAAAAAGGGUAAAAAUCUAAAUCGAUGAAUUUCAAAUAUCAACUCCCAUUUACUCGUCGCCUUAAAUGUUUGUUUGCCCAAGCUAAGCAUUUAACCUAACAAAAAAAUUUACAGCGAAAAUGUACAACAAGAUAUGGUGCGUGUAAAUGAGAAAAUUUAAUCGUCAAGACGAUGGAUCUCACCCAUCAAAAUGCGGUUGCUUGUAACCUUAAAACCAAGCAAGGCAGGAUCAAUUUGUCUUCCCUUUUUCCCUUUUUUCUUGCCACUUCGUCCAGCUUGUGAAGCACCAUCAGAUGAUGGUGGCUCAAAAGCAGAGCCAUACACGGGGACCUCUGCGCCAUGAAGAGCCGGCUUCUUAAGAAUCUCCAUGAAUGAUGCUUCAGACACUGCAGCCUCAUUAUAAGAUGAGGUCCUUCUCAUACUCACAUCUUUCUUGCCCGAUGCCUCUGUUUCUACUGUCCUCUUUGCCUGACUUGUAAGGCUUUUCUGCUUCACAAAUGGCACUGUGUUUUGAUCGGAAAAUACAUCCUGGGAUGAUGAAAUCUGUGCAACUUUAUCAACCCCUUUCGGCACUCCAGACAGUAACCUAUCAAUAAGACGAGCAUAUUUAGAUUAGAUGGCUUUUUAAAAAGAGUUAGUUGGAUGUGCACUCGUGUCAAAUGUCAAUUCUGAGGUGACUCGUCAUAGCGGUGCAAAUAAAAUCCCCCACCACCCCACAAAAAAAAAAUCACCAACAUCAACAUUAGAGAGAAGAGAGUGUCACCUUUCAUUAGGACGGUCUUCUACAGAUUUCUCUAAUCCAAUUUCAUUACUGUACAACCUGCCAUUCCCACCUGCACCAUUUCACUUUUAUGAUUUAAUUCAUACAGAAAAAAAAAACUAAAGGCCAUUUAAUAAGAUCUUUUUUUCUGAAGAUUACCGGUACUAAGUGAACUGUGACGGAUAUGGGUUCUACUUUGUAGGUCAGCACAGUCCAAAGGCAUCUCUACUUGCUCUAAGAUAUUGUCCUCAGACCCCGACAGAGAACCAGACCUUGAAAUCAUGCUUUUCAAUCCAUUUUUCUUCUCCUUCCCCUCCAGUUCGCCCAAUUCCUUAUCCACAGCAGAUUUUGACACUAAGCUAGCAUCUGCAUAAAUACUAGAAGACAGAUCUUCAGCGCCCAACAACAAUGACUGAUCUUCAGCAAAUGAACCCGGAUUGGAUUUAUGAGGCAUUCGUUCACAGUUAACCACUUGGUUGACACCACCACUGGCUGCAACUCCAAACAAAUGAUCUUGCAAUAAGGCACCUGAAUUGGAAUUUUGAGGGCCUUCCAGAUAUGAGUUGUUUACAUGAAAAUUGGAAGCUUGUGGCUCAGAAACAGGCCAAAAGCUUUCCCUGCCCCUGGAAGAUGAAGUAGAAUACUGAUAAUCUCCUUCUGAUGACCUUGUCGAUUGAAUACCAAGUUUUUGGUGAAGAAGGUCCAUUAAAGCUUUCUUAGACUUUUCAUGAAUCCCUCCAGCUGAUGCCCAAGUGCUUGAAUCAACUUCGGACUCCCUUCUUUGCAAAUCUGCUUCAAGAUUUAAUUGUUGCAUCUGUUUUCCAGCCCAACUAUUUUCUAGCUGCUCAUUUUCCCCAGAGUGGUAGACUAAAUCUGGACGAGAUGCAUAUACAUCACCCAAAGUUUGUUGGCUAAAAGAGUGGUUACCAGAAGAAAAUGGACCCGGUUGGUUGUUAGAGUGCAUGUAGAGAUGUUCAGCAAUAUCUAGAGAAUUUACAUUGUCUACUUUCAUCCCAGGAGCAGCAGCAGAAUGAACAGACCUGGCAAAUGCUGUAUGGCUGGGGUCAAAAGUUCCUCGCUGCUGUUGCUCCCGCAAAGCAUGAUUCCUUUUAGAAUUGCUGAUUUGCUCUUCAAAAGAUGAAAGCCUCUUCUGGUGAAGAUCUGAACCAUUCAACUCCAUUGAUUGAGCCCGGGGAUGAAUGCCAGGAUUCCUAACAAACUGACCAACUUCAUCUACAGACAAAGAACCAGCAAGUUGUCUAUCCUCCUCCAUUCCUAAUUGUUGGCUCAGCGCCCUAGAUAACUGCUGCACUUGAAACUGCUCUCGUUGAAGACGGAGCUGAUGCUCCAAAGGAAGCAUAUUUCCAUACUUUGCUUGCGACAUGAAAUCCAAAAAAUCAGCCUGUUGCCCUUGGACUGCACUCUGGUUAAUCUUUGCUUGGAUGAUCUGCUCCAGUGAUGGAUCCAGGUGCCUUGAUGCUUGAGAAUUAUUCUGCAAUUCACUUAGAAGAUGCCUUUGUAAUUGAACCUGAUCGAGUUGGAUGUCUCUAGCAGCAUCAAAUACAUCCUGACCAUAGCCAGGAUCAGAAAUCUGAUGCUCAAGCAAUUGAUCA
This 18244-nucleotide long non-coding RNA is filed under the name Gossypium raimondii (Peruvian cotton). RNAcentral describes it as "long non-coding RNA (GRAI_LNC005120)". The record is from RNAcentral. Lineage: Eukaryota; Viridiplantae; Streptophyta; Magnoliopsida; Malvales; Malvaceae.